UACAGAGGUCUCAACCGUUGUUCGGAUUCAUUGGGCGUAAAGGGUGCGUAGGCGGUCGUGCAAGUCGGAUGUGAAAUCUCAGGGCUCAACCCUGAAACUGCAUUCGAUACUGCGCGGCUAGAGUGCAGGAGGGGAGACUGGAAUUUACGGUGUAGCAGUGAAAUGCGUAGAUAUCGUAAGGAAGACCAGUGGCGAAGGCGAGUCUCUGGACAGCAACUGACGCUGAGGCACGAAGGCCAGGGGAGCAAACGGG
Molecule: ribosomal RNA, 253 nt
Filed under: uncultured bacterium
Lineage: Bacteria
Description: partial 16S ribosomal RNA
Rfam family: Bacterial small subunit ribosomal RNA
Source: RNAcentral